Molecule: ribosomal RNA, 402 nt
Filed under: Verrucomicrobiota bacterium
Lineage: Bacteria; Pseudomonadati; Verrucomicrobiota
Description: Verrucomicrobia bacterium partial 16S ribosomal RNA
Rfam family: Bacterial small subunit ribosomal RNA
Source: RNAcentral
UGGGGAAUUUUGCACAAUGGGGGAAACCCUGAUGCAGCGACGCCGCGUGAUUUAGAAGGCCUUCGGGUUGUAAAAAUCUUUUGUAUGGGAAGAAAAUGACAGUACCAUACGAAUAAGGACCGGCUAAUUACGUGCCAGCAGCCGCGGUAAUACGUAAGGUCCGAGCGUUGUCCGGAAUCAUUGGGCGUAAAGGGUACGUAGGCGGAUAAGCAAGUUAGAAGUGAAAUCCUAUAGCUCAACUAUAGUAAGCUUUUAAAACUGCUCAUCUUCAGGUAUGGAAGGGAAAGUGGAAUUCCUAGUGUAGCGGUGAAAUGCGCAGAUAUUAGGAGGAAUACCGGUGGCGAAGGCGACUUUCUGGCCAUAAACUAACGCUGAGGUACGAAAGCGUGGGUAGCAAACAGG